UGCCUAAAAACACUUAAAAAGCAUAAAAUAAAAAGAAAAUUUAUUUGUUUUACAUAUAACAUUGAAAUAUGUUUCAUUCGUGAACACCAGCUAUUAUAUUUUCACUUGUGGCUACGCCACUCGUGAAAAUAUUGCAUCUGGUGUUCACUCAGUGAAAUUAUAUUUCAAUCUUACAUGCAAAACAAACAAAUAUCCUCUAUAUCAUUAUCAUUUCCAAAGGUAUUUUUCUCUCAAUACAUUUCCUUUUCUAACAUAACUGCCCAUUCAAACUCCAACACGUACAUUACAAAACUGACUUAAUCCUUGAUUUUUAAAGGAUUUUUUUGCAUAUAUUUUUAUAAACAAAAAUAAGGGUUCCUGAUAAUUUAAUCUCUUUACACAUUUUUGUUCACAGGUAGAGGCCUUUUAAUAUGCCCUAAAGAAUUUCAUAUUAGUUAUACCCCCUGGCGUCCGUCCAUCUGUCUGUCUAUCCACACUUACAGGACAGUAAUUAUGUGGCUAGAGGGACAAUAGAGAUGUCGGAGAUCAUUGAACCAUCUUGUGAAGAAAUUGAAAGGCCUUUGUUUCCUCAGCUUAUAGUAGUUGAUAAGGUGAAAAGAAGUAUUAAAGGCAGUCUC
This is a long non-coding RNA of Ruditapes philippinarum (Manila clam), 617 nucleotides long. RefSeq lists it as uncharacterized. The record is from RefSeq and is a predicted model, not a curated record. The transcript has 2 exons. NCBI's taxonomy places the organism in Eukaryota, Metazoa, Mollusca, Bivalvia, Venerida, Veneridae.